GCAACAAAUGGCCACAAACCGAUCAAAGGUGAAACUGACGGUGAACCAGACAGAGCAGUCAGUGGCUGCAUAAAGCAGGACAGCGUGGAUAUUACACACGGGGACGGAGUACAGGAAAUAAAACUGUUCCUGAUAAACAAUGGGAAUGUGUCUCAGGAUCAGGUCGAGGAUAAUGACCAGGAGAUCCGCCGCUGCCAUGGCCCCCAGAUGUUUCGUCACGAUGACUAGGUGAUAUCAUUAGUGAGAGUCUCUGGUGACGCACUCGUGAAACAGGAGAAAGGCUGUUCGUCAAGAGAAGCUGUAAGGAAUGUGAAGAGGUCAUUCAGGCCCUCAACUCCAUACCACAGGAGCACCACGUGAGCACCGAGCGAUUGCAGCCUGUUACUCAGUAGCAGGAGGGAGACAUCUACUAUCACAAGCCUUGGAUCAGGAGGCAGUCACUCAGCUGCCCAAGAUUGGGACACAGGAACAGAACGCAGUCAUUCAACUGCUUGAGACUGGGGCACAGGGACAGGAGGGAGUCACUGAGAGCUCGAAGCUGGGGCACAGGGAACUCUGGAGACUAGUGAGGCCCGAGGAUCCUGUUAUGCAAGAACAGCAGGAGGUGACUCAGUCCCCACCAGUAUGGGACACUGGGAGAGAAGGGGAGUUUUCUUGGAACACACAGAAAUAUAUGAAUAAAUUGCAUUAGUGGUCCAUUCAAUCCUGCCCCACCAUUCACGAAGACCACGUCUGAUCUGAUUAUGAUUCCCUCAUUCCAUUUUACGGAGACGCCCCUCUCUGCAGCCUCUGCUCCAUUUGUUGGUCAUGUUGCAGACCCAGAUGCUGCAACAACAUUCACCAUGACUUAUCCAGAGGGAUCGGUCUAACAGGAUGAGUCAGGAUUUGAAAGGUCCAAUCACAAGAAUGAAAACACAAAAUAAAGGUAUUGCCAGAUGUUUACUUCUCUCACAUUUGCAAUCCAACUCACAAAACCACCCCAUCUAUUAAAUAUUCAGGAUGGAUCACUGUGUAGGUCCGGCUAGUGUAUAGCUGAAUGCAACCCAGCAAUACCCAGAAUGGAACUCUGUGCAGCCCACACCAAUGCUUGAUCCAUAAUCCUGGACUAAAUAUCCAGCGUGGGGAGUUGUGCAGACCGCACUGGUUCAUUCAUAUAUAAGCCCAGGCUAUUGCAUUUUUCGGUAACACUGUGUUAGAUCACUGCCCAGUGUGGGGAAACUUGCA
Hemiscyllium ocellatum (epaulette shark) is the source of this 1224-nucleotide long non-coding RNA. RefSeq lists it as uncharacterized. The transcript is spliced from 3 exons. Lineage: Eukaryota; Metazoa; Chordata; Chondrichthyes; Orectolobiformes; Hemiscylliidae. The record is from RefSeq and is a predicted model, not a curated record.